CGCUCAUUCCCACGACCGCGGUUGCGAGAAUAUCUCUUCUGCGAUUACACACUGAUGGCUCUGCUCCUUGGCUCCAGGUGCUAGCCGAGGCCACAAGCGCGUUGUUCCAUACCGACGCAGAGAAUAAGUGGAAGGGCGUGUGGAUCGAGAUUGACAGCGGUGGAGACGACGGCUAGAGCGAGAGGAGCAGCGCCGUGGCCAGCGAGGGGAGCACAGUCACGGCCGCCGCGUCUGCGGGCUCCACAGCCACGUCGAGGAGAUGCUGUUGGGCUCCGUGGGUGGGUUGUGCUGCUGGUGGUAAGGGGCCGAGGUGGGCGGAGGUGAUAAUUCUGUGGUUUUUGCAGAUGCAAGCUGGGCCAGCGACGGAGAACGACAUUCGUGCCGCCAUCGGCGACAACUCCGGCAUGAGCAAAGCGAUACGAUAGCUGUUGAAGCAGGAGGGCGACUUGCGGCAUGCAGGCAAUGGUGGUGCCCUGGAUCCGUAUGUUUAUAUGGACCUCAGGAUCCUGGUCCCAGUGCACCUCUAAAGUGGAUACAUCAUUCUUUAGCAGCAGUUCUUUCAGCAAAAGAUUCCUCUCAUAGCAAUUCACAUUCACGGAUGAUAUUCCUUGGCAUCAACUUUUAUGGUUAUGAUUUUCUACUAUCUGGAGGUGCUACUCCCAAAUUGUGUGUUCCUUCUCCGGGGAAACCAUGAAUCCUUUAAUAUGGUUUCGAGAAGGAGAUAAUGACUAAAUACAAAGAUCAAGGCCCUUAACUUUAUCGAAAGUUUUAAAGAUGUUUUGGGGACCUUCCUCUAGCGGCAAUAAUAGCAGGAUGUGUGUACACUGCACGUGGAGGUGUCUUCACUAGUUCCAUGAUGGGUCUUUCUCCGAAUAAAGAUCAAGACAUUGGAUUGCUUUGGGGUCCUGAUAUCACUCAGCAAUUUCUGAGGACAAAUAAUUUGAAGCGACGCACAGGCGAAUUGAUCAUGUGGAGGCCUGGAAGUGUAAUGGUGGUUUACCGAGGGAGCAUUUACAAAAGGCCUCUAAAAUCUCAAGCUCUAAAUGGUGCCUCAUCAUCGGUUAAAGGCGAAUUUGGUGCAUUGUUCAUCCCAAAUGCCUCGAAUGCCGUUGAGAAUGAUAUUCAAGGGAUAUAUUUGUCUGCAAAACAUGCAACUGUGUCCCUAUUGAAUGUGUAGAAUAUUAAGCACAUGAAUGAGGAAGGGUUGGAGUUCAAUUAGAUAAUGAUGAGCUAGGUCCUCAUUUUGUGGAUUGGUGGGAACGGGUAUUUUACCAAUGGAUGUUGACUUGCUGCCUCAAAUAAUCCUUGGUUAUAAUAUACCAUACAGAGUUCUUUCGACUGGAAUGCGUUCGACCCUUACCAAUGCAGAGCUGACUAGCCAAAGUUAGUGAGGAACCUUCCAUGCCAUUUUGCUCUAGGGAGAAACCAGAACUAUCAAGUUUAGCAGCAGUAAUAUAAUAAGGAGCAUGUUGUAACUGCCCCAGCGUUGGUGUGGACAGCAGUAAUAUAUUGCUCAUCGAUUGCAAAUAAUUUUAUUCUAAUUUUUCAUCACA
Molecule: RNA transcript, 1553 nt
Organism: Zea mays
Lineage: Eukaryota; Viridiplantae; Streptophyta; Magnoliopsida; Poales; Poaceae
Exons: 7
Source: RefSeq, a predicted model, not a curated record